ACGUACGGCCACAGCAUCUGGACAACUCGGGAUCCCGUCUGCUCUCCCCUAGAUAAGCCGGAUAGCGCCAAGAUUAGUAGUUGGGUCGGUGACGACCAGCGAACCCCUGGUGUUGUACGUU
Molecule: ribosomal RNA, 121 nt
Filed under: Eutypa lata UCREL1
Lineage: Eukaryota; Fungi; Ascomycota; Sordariomycetes; Xylariales; Diatrypaceae
Source: RNAcentral